ACGCACGCUGGCGGCGUGCUUCACACAUGCCAGUCGAACGGAAAGGCCCUGCUUUUGUGGGGUGCUCGAGUGGCGAACGGGUGAGUAACACGUGAGUAACCUGCCCUUGACUUUGGGAUAACUUCAGGAAACUGGGGCUAAUACCGGAUAGGAGCUCCUGCUGCAUGGUGGGGGUUGGAAAGUUUCGGCGGUUGGGGAUGGACUCGCGGCUUAUCAGCUUGUUGGUGGGGUAGUGGCUUACCAAGGCUUUGACGGGUAGCCGGCCUGAGAGGGUGACCGGCCACAUUGGGACUGAGAUACGGCCCAGACUCCUACGGGAGGCAGCAGUGGGGAAUAUUGCACAAUGGGCGGAAGCCUGAUGCAGCAACGCCGCGUGCGGGAUGACGGCCUUCGGGUUGUAAACCGCUUUCGCCUGUGACGAAGCGUGAGUGACGAUAAUGGGUAAAGAAGCACCGGCUAACUACGUG
This 467-nucleotide ribosomal RNA is filed under the name uncultured bacterium. RNAcentral's name for it is "partial 16S ribosomal RNA". It matches the Rfam family "Bacterial small subunit ribosomal RNA", at positions 29 to 507 of the family's 1533-position model. The record is from RNAcentral.